GCUAAGUGCGGAACGGAUAAACGCUGAAGGCAUCUAAGCGUGAAGCCGGCCUUAAGAUGAGAUAUCCCACUGAGUCAAUCAGGUAAGACCCCUUGAAGACUACAAGGUUGAUAGGUUCAAAGUGGAAGCGCCGUGAGGCGUGAAGCUUGCGAAUACUAAUCGGUCGAGGGCUUGAUCUA
RNAcentral lists this ribosomal RNA (179 nucleotides) under Candidatus Merdivicinus intestinigallinarum. RNAcentral describes it as "partial 23S ribosomal RNA". It matches the Rfam family "Bacterial large subunit ribosomal RNA", at positions 2748 to 2925 of the family's 2925-position model. Lineage: Bacteria; Bacillati; Bacillota; Clostridia; Eubacteriales; Oscillospiraceae. The record is from RNAcentral.